UACGUAGGGGGCAAGCGUUGUCCGGAUUUAUUGGGCGUAAAGAGCGUGUAGGCGGCCAGAUAGGUCCGUUGUGAAAACUGGAGGCUUAACCUCCAGCGGUCGAUGGAAACCAUUUGGCUAGAGUCCGGAAGAGGAGAGUGGAAUUCCUGGUGUAGCAGUGAAAUGCGUAGAUAUCAUGAGGAAUACCAGAGGCGAAGGCGGCUACCUGGACAAUUGCUGACGCUCAGGCACGAAAGCAUGGGGAGCAAAAGGG
RNAcentral lists this ribosomal RNA (253 nucleotides) under uncultured bacterium. RNAcentral's name for it is "partial 16S ribosomal RNA". It matches the Rfam family "Bacterial small subunit ribosomal RNA", at positions 524 to 776 of the family's 1533-position model. The record is from RNAcentral.